RNAcentral lists this transfer RNA (109 nucleotides) under Maudiozyma exigua. RNAcentral's name for it is "Kazachstania exigua tRNA-Trp". It matches the Rfam family "tRNA". Rfam says of the family: Transfer RNA (tRNA) molecules are approximately 80 nucleotides in length. The record is from RNAcentral. Lineage: Eukaryota; Fungi; Ascomycota; Saccharomycetes; Saccharomycetales; Saccharomycetaceae.
GAAGCGGUGGCUCAAUGGUAGAGCUUUCGACUCCAGUUAAAUCCUGGAUUAUCUAUGGAAACUAGUAAUUGCAAUCGAAGGGUUGCAGGUUCAAUUCCUGUCCGUUUCA